ACGAACGCUGGCGGCGUGCCUAGUACAUGCAAGUAGAACGCUGAAGGAGGAGCUUGCUUCUCUGGAUGAGUUGCGAACGGGUGAGUAACGCGUAGGUAACCUGCCUGGUAGCGGGGGAUAACUAUUGGAAACGAUAGCUAAUACCGCAUAAGAUUGACUAUUGCAUGAUAGUCAGUUAAAAGGUGCAAUUGCAUCACUACCAGAUGGACCUGCGUUGUAUUAGCUAGUUGGUGGGGUAACGGCUCACCAAGGCGACGAUACAUAGCCGACCUGAGAGGGUGAUCGGCCACACUGGGACUGAGACACGGCCCAGACUCCUACGGGAGGCAGCAGUAGGGAAUCUUCGGCAAUGGACGGAAGUCUGACCGAGCAACGCCGCGUGAGUGAAGAAGGUUUUCGGAUCGUAAAGCUCUGUUGUAAGAGAAGAACGAGUGUGAGAGUGGAAAGUUCACACUGUGACGGUAUCUUACCAGAAAGGGACGGCUAACUACGUG
This 494-nucleotide ribosomal RNA is filed under the name uncultured bacterium. RNAcentral describes it as "partial 16S ribosomal RNA". It matches the Rfam family "Bacterial small subunit ribosomal RNA", at positions 29 to 507 of the family's 1533-position model. The record is from RNAcentral.